This 582-nucleotide ribosomal RNA is filed under the name Salmonella enterica subsp. enterica serovar Panama. RNAcentral's name for it is "partial 23S ribosomal RNA". It matches the Rfam family "Bacterial large subunit ribosomal RNA", at positions 1977 to 2558 of the family's 2925-position model. Lineage: Bacteria; Pseudomonadati; Pseudomonadota; Gammaproteobacteria; Enterobacterales; Enterobacteriaceae. The record is from RNAcentral.
UAAAUACCGACCUGCAUGAAUGGCGUAACGAGAUGGGAGCUGUCUCAAAGAGGGAUCCAGUGAAAUUGUAGUGGAGGUGAAAAUUCCUCCUACCCGCGGCAAGACGGAAAGACCCCGUGGACCUUUACUACAGCUUGACACUGCUAUUUGGAUAAGAAUGUGCAGGAUAGGUGGGAGGCUUUGAGUAUAUGACGCCAGUUGUAUAUGAGCCAUUGUUGAGAUACCACUCUUUCUUAUUUGGGUAGCUAACCAGCUUGAGUUAUCCUCAAGUGGGACAAUGUCUGGUGGGUAGUUUGACUGGGGCGGUCGCCUCCCAAAUAAUAACGGAGGCUUACAAAGGUUGGCUCAGAACGGUUGGAAAUCGUUCGUAGAGUAUAAAGGUAUAAGCCAGCUUAACUGCAAGACAUACAAGUCAAGCAGAGACGAAAGUCGGUCUUAGUGAUCCGGUGGUUCUGUGUGGAAGGGCCAUCGCUCAAAGGAUAAAAGGUACCCCGGGGAUAACAGGCUGAUCUCCCCCAAGAGCUCACAUCGACGGGGAGGUUUGGCACCUCGAUGUCGGCUCAUCGCAUCCUGGGGCUGGAG